Molecule: ribosomal RNA, 343 nt
Filed under: Dermacentor andersoni
Lineage: Eukaryota; Metazoa; Arthropoda; Arachnida; Ixodida; Ixodidae
Description: partial 16S ribosomal RNA
Rfam family: Bacterial large subunit ribosomal RNA (bases 220-343)
Source: RNAcentral
UUCAGGGAAAAACUGUUUUAAACUUAAAAAUUAAAUCUAUUUUAAUUUGUGAAGAAACAAUUAUUUAAAUUAAGGACAAGAAGACCCUAAGAAUUUUAAAGAUAAUAAUUUUAAUAUUAAAAUUAUUAUCUUUUGGUUGGGGCAACUAAAAAAGAUUAUAAACUUUUUAUUUAAUAAAAUGACCCAUUAUUAAUGAUAAUUUGAUAAAAAUACUCUAGGGAUAACAGCGUAAUAAUUUUUGAUAGAACAUAUAGACAAAAUAGUUUGCGACCUCGAUGUUGGAUUAGGAUACUUUUUUAAUGAAGAUGUUAAAAAAAGAAGUUUGUUCAACUUUUAAAGUCCU